This 242-nucleotide ribosomal RNA is filed under the name Salmonella enterica subsp. enterica serovar Cerro. Its description in RNAcentral is "partial 23S ribosomal RNA". It matches the Rfam family "Bacterial large subunit ribosomal RNA", at positions 539 to 783 of the family's 2925-position model. Lineage: Bacteria; Pseudomonadati; Pseudomonadota; Gammaproteobacteria; Enterobacterales; Enterobacteriaceae. The record is from RNAcentral.
UGAAAAAGAACCUGAAACCGUGUACGUACAAGCAGUGGGAGCACCCUUUUGGGUGUGACUGCGUACCUUUUGUAUAAUGGGUCAGCGACUUAUAUUCUGUAGCAAGGUUAACCGUAUAGGGGAGCCGCAGGGAAACCGAGUCUUAACCGGGCGUUAAGUUGCAGGGUAUAGACCCGAAACCCGGUGAUCUAGCCAUGGGCAGGUUGAAGGUUGGGUACCACUAACUGGAGGACCGAACCGAC